GCUAAGCCUGGCAUCUGGUGUAAACUAAACUUAGGUUAGUAAAUUUUGGUGUUUCUAUAUUUGUUCGAUUCUGUUUUCAAUUUAUUCCUGAAGGGUAGAAUGCAUUAGGCUAACUAAGAAUAUGGAUACCUUCAACGCUUGGCACCCCACCAUAUUAAAUAGAAAAGGUCCCUACCCCAUUUUUUGUAGCCACACGAUGUGGGAGAACUCACGAAAUAGACAAGCCCCAUGGGAGAGACUGAUUGGAUUGGUUGAGAAGAAGAAGUUUUGUAUAAUAUUAGGCCUUGCGUAAUUGCAUACAAUCUUGAGGUGAAGAUCCAUAUGGUGCGGAUGUUUCCUUGUCAAACGGGCCAAAUAUCCCCUAAAUGGGCCAUCGGAUGAUGGAAUCGAUCUUAGGACAUUACCGAUUUGGCUAACGGAUUAUCAAGUCCCUAGUAUGUUUAAGUUGGGUUUUAGUUAGAGGAGCGAGAGUCGAGGUGUUUGCGGUUCUAGAGGAUUGCCAAAGAUGCCCUAAGAGACUUUAUGACUUGUUCUCACACGUUACUCGUAUUAAAACUACAAUACGAAAUCAUACUUCUCAUGCACAAAUGUGUGGUGUACCUAGAUAAAGCAAUAGAGACAAUUGUAGUUACGUGUGAGAACAUAUUAAAAAUAAUUUCAGUUUUGUGCAAUCAAGGGAAUGUAAAGUAAUGUCCUUCUCAUAUUUAUGCUCGCACUAAUCACAUUCAUCCAUCCACUCGUCCUUAUAGUUGUAUAGAGUAGGGCACAAUAGGGACAUGGGAGAGUGUUUUUUGUAAUUAGGUGGUAACUAUGUACAAGACAUACAAGACAAUCAUUGGCCUAGAGCCUAUACCAUUCAUAUGCUAAUAAAGUGCAAAAGGAAGAAUGUUUAACUGUAAAGAAAGAAGCCGCUUAACUACACUAUUUAGGCGGGCCAACAUGUAUGGGAGGAGUAGUUGGUAUUUUUGGGGUGAAUUUCCAUUUUAAGCUCAUUGGAACUCGAUGGGGAUGUUUGCUUUUCGGGUGUGCCCCAUGGACAGCUAGCUAGCUAAUGCUAGCAUUGUAGAUGUGCCCUUUGUUUUUUCCCGUAUUUCAAGAUAGAUAUGCAUUUUUUUUCUUAAAUUGGUUAAGAAAACAUGGAAAUAACUAGCAACAAUGAAAAACACAUCACCUCAUUGCGGAUCACCUCCCCCCCCACCCGACUCCACUCGCUUGAGAUCGCUUUGGAAAAAUGCAAAUUAUGACUUCACGUCAUGGAAGAUCCACACCCUUCCACUCACACGAGAUCACAUCAUCUAACCCAAGACCCGUCUUACCCCUUUCCUCACACAAAAUCACAUCAUAACGUGUGACAUAUAUCGUAAGGUCUAGCAUGACAACAAAUUCUCUAGCCACCCUGCCACUUGAGACAUACCGAAACCCACCCCACCAUGUGACAUUAAACAUACAUGUAAGAAAGCGAGGGGUGGGCUUGGGACUUAUGAGAGGUCAUGCAAGAGAUAGAAUGCUUGGGCUAUCAAUCCACUUUCUCCUCCUUCGCGAAUCGCUGCUCGAUGGUCCCACGCCCAUGUUGGACACCUCACGUGGCCGAGCCUGGCAUUAGAUUCAGUUAUGUGCCCAACACUUCUUCCGAAACUGGUUUUGAUUCCGCUUUUGUUGUAUGUGUGCAGUUUUCAGAAUGGAGACUCACGCACCGCUUAUGACCGAUCAACUAGACUCUACUUAUUAUGGCUUUUCCUUGUCUAGCCACCUUGCAUGACCAAAGAUCUAAAUGAUUUAUUGCUUUUCCCAUGCCUUAGGUAAAUGUUUCUUUUUUCUAAGCCUACGUUAGUUUCAAAAUGCGCAAGUUUAGUUAGCCGAAAAUGUAAGUUUGAUUUUUUUUCAAAAAGAAAGUGUAGAGUGGAUUUUGGACGUUUUUACAAAGUGUGAAAUACACUUUUUUAGAAAACAUUUGUACUUAUAUGAAAAAAUAACCUAUUACUGCUUACUAUUGAAAUGUGUGUGUGAGGGUUAUUGAUUAUUUAGAGCGCAUUGUGGUAUCCAUUGCCUAUCCAACACUCUAUCCAAUCAUCAAAACACUAUUACCGUAACACCAAGUAAAAAUCAAUGCCUUCUGAACCUAUAUAUACACAUUUAUUUGAUAAGAAAUGUUAUCCUCAACCACGAGGGGAAGCGCCUCGUGUAACGAUCUCCAACCAAAACUACAUACUUACGUGAAUAAACAUUGUGACUCAUUAGCACAGUUAGCUUGUAUUGCAAGUACAAUAUGAUAGCAUACUUCACAUGCACAAGUGUGGUGUACUUGGAUAAAGCAUUAGUGACCAUUCUAAUUCGGUGUGAGAAUAUAUAACAAGAUUUUUAGUUUUGGGUAACCAAGGGAAUGUAAUGCAAUGUCCCUCGCAUAUGUAUUCCUCUUCUCGAAUACAUUCAUCCAUCCUCUCGUCCUCCGAUAUGUAUAGAGUAGGUCACAAUAGGUUAAUGGGGGAAAGUUGUUUGUAAUUAGGUAUUGUUUACAAAACAUUCAAGAUAAUCAUUGGCCUAAGACUAUACCAAAAAUUUGCAAAUGAAGAGCAAAAGGAAGAUAUUUUGUUUAAUUGUGAUGCAAGAAGCCGCUUAACUACACUAUUUAGGUGGGCCAACACGUGUAGGCGGACCAGCUGGUAUAUAUUGUUGCUGUUGGAUUUCCAUUAAUUCUAGGCUCACUAGAACUUCAUGGGGUGUUUGUUUUUGUGUCAAUGCGCCAUGGAUAGCUGCAAGUAAAUGUUUGCUUUGUAGAUGUGUCCUUAGUUUCUUCCCAUAUGUCAUGUUGGAUAUAAUUUGUUCUCUUAAAUUGUUUAAGAAAAAUUGGAAAUAACUAACAAAGAUAAAAAAACAUCAUGUCAUCUAAGAUCCACCCCCUCCGCUCGCACGAUAUUUCUUUGAAAAAUGGAAAUAAUCCCUUCAUGUCAUGGAAGAUCUACAUCCUUCCACUCACGCGAUAUCGCAUCAUCUAACCUGGGUCAGUUUUCCCCCUUUCCUCAUAGAAUAUCGUGUCGUAAUGCAUGAGAUAUAUCCUGAACUCCACUUAUUGUAGCACGACAAUAACUUCUCUAGCCACGCCACAAUUUGAGACGUACCGGAAGCCUACCCACCGUCCGAAAUUAAUGACACAUGUAAGCAAAGUGAUGGGUGGGUGUUGGGACUUACGGGAGGCCAUGCAAGAGACGCAAUGCUUGGUUCGUUGACCCCAUUUAUUCUCCACGUGGAUCGCUUCUUGAUGGUCUCACGCUCGAGUUGGUCACCUCCCAUGGCUAAGCCUGGCAUCCGGUGUAAACUAAACUUAUGUUAGUAAAUUUUGGUGUUUCUAUAUUUGUUGUUUGAUUCUGUUUUCAAUUUAUUCCUAAAGGGUAGAAUGCAUUAGGCUAACUAAGAAUAUGGAUACCUUCAAUGCUUGGCACCCCACCAUAUUAAAUAGAAAAGGUCCCUACCCCAUUUUGUUUGGCCACACGAUGUGGGACAAAUCACAAAACUGACAAGCCCCACGGGAGAGACUGACUGGAUUGGUUAAGAAGAAGUUUUGCAGAAUAUUAGGCCUUGCGUAGUUGCAUACAAUGUUGAGGUGAAGAUCCAUAUGGUGCGGAUGUUUCGUUGUCAAACGGGCCAAAUAUCCCCUAAAUGGGUCAUCGGACGCUAAAAUCGAUCUUAGGACACUACCGAUUUGGCUAACGGCUUAUCAAAUCCCUAGUGUUUUUAAGUUGGGUUUGAGUUAGAGGAGCGAGAGUCGAUGUGUUUGCGGUUCUAGAGGAUUGCCAAAGAUGCCCUAAGAGACUUUAUGACUUGUUCUCACACGUUGCUCGUAUUAAAACUACAAUAGGAAAUCAUACUUCGCAUGCACAAAUGUGUGGUGUACCCAGAAAAUGCAAUAGAGACAAUUGUAGUUACGUGUGAGAACAUAUUAAAAAUAAUUUCAGUUUUGUGCAAUGAAGGGAAACUAAAGUAAUGUCCUUCUCAUAUUUAUGCUCACACUGAUCACAUUCAUCCAUCCACUCGUCCUUAUAGUUGUAUAGAGUAGGGCACAAUAGGUCCAUGGGAGAGUGUUUUUUGUAAUUAGGCGGUAAGUGUGUACAAGACAUACAAGACAACCAUUGGCCUAGAGCCUAUGCCAUCCAUAUGCAAAUAAAGUGCAAAAGGAAGAAUGUUUAACUGUAAAGAAAGAAGCCGCUUAACUACAAAAUUUACGCGGGCCAACAUGUCUGGGAGGAGUAGGUGGUAUUUUUGGGGUGAAUUUCCAUUUUAAGCUCAUUGGAACUUGAUGGGGAUGUUUGGUUUUUGGGGUGUGCUCCAUGGACAGCUAGCCAGCUAAUGUUAGCAUUGUAGAUGUGCCCUUUGUUUUUUCCCGUAUUUCAAGAUAGAUAUGCAUUUUUUUUCUUAAAUUGGUUAAGAAAACAUGGAAAUAACUAGCAACAAUGAAAAACACAUCAGCUCAUUGAGGAUCACCCCCCCCCCGACUCCACUCGCUUGAGAUCGCUUUGGGAAAAUGCAAAUUAUGACUUCACGUCAUGGAAGAUCCACACCCUUGCACUCACACGAGAUCACAUCAUCUAACCCAAGAUCUGUCUUACCCCUUUCCUCACAGAAAAUCACAUCAUAACGUGUGACAUAUAUCCUAAGGUCUAGCAUGACAACAAAUUCUCUAGCCAUCCCGCCACUUGAGACAUACCGAAACCCACCCCACCAUGUGACAUUAAACAUACAUGUAAGAAAGCUAGGGGUGGGCUUGGGACUUAUGAGAGGUCAUGCGAGAGAUAGAAUGCUUGGGCUAUCAAUCCACUUUCUCCUCCCUCGUGCAUCGCUUCUCGAUGGUUCCACGCCCAUGUUGCACACCUCACGUGACCGAGCCUGGCAUUUGGUAUAUACCAAACUUCGGUUAUUAAGUUUUGUUGUUUCUAUAUUUCCGUUUUAAUUCCGUUGGUUAAGUAAAAUGGAAAUAACUAGCAAGAGUGAAAAACCCAUCACAUCGGUGAAGAUCGCCCCCAAUCCACUCACAUGAGAUCGCUUUGAAAAAAUGAAAUUUGUUACUUCACAUCAUUGAAGAUCCACACCCUUCCACUCACACGAGAUCACAUCAUCUACCCGAGAUUUGUGUGACCCUUUUCCUCACACAAGAUCAUGUCAUAACGUGUGACAUAUAUCCUAAUGUGUAGCAUGACAAUAAAUUCUCUAGCCGCCCUGCCACUUGAGACGUGCCGAAACCCACACCACCAUUUGACAUGAAACAUGCAUGUAAGAAAACGAGGCAUGGGUUUUGGGCCUUAUGAGAGGUCAUGUAAGAGCCACAAAUCUUGGGUUGUCAAUCCCCUUUAUCCUCCCUUGUGGAUCGCUGCUUGACGAUCCCAUGACCAUGUUGGGUACCUCACAUGGCUAACCCUGCCAUUUGCUACAUAAACUUCGGUUAGUAAGUUUUGGUGUUUCUAUAUUUCAUUUUUUAUUCGGUUUUCGACUUAUACUGAAAGAGUAUCCCGUGUGCGGUUCACCAAGGAUAUGGAUGCCUUCCACCCGAGGCAUACCACCCUAUUAAAUAGUCAAGCUCCUGCCUCCAUUUUUUGCAGCCUGGUGAUGUGGUACUAAAAACCAAAUGGACAAGCCCCAUGGGAGAGACUCAUUGGUGUGGGUAAGAAAAAUAGGUGAUGUAGAUUAUUGGGCAUUGCCUAUUUGCCUACAGUAUUGAGGUGGAUGCCCACAUGAGUGAUUGGGUCUUCCCUGACUUGCACACACGACCACAUGGCACUCACCUUAACCUUAGGGGAGCGACUCUGUGUCGACUAUUGUGAGACGAAACAAGGUGCCGCCUAGAGUGCUGACGAAAUUGGCUAGAACACCAUGCUGGGCGACCAUCGGCCUUAAGUGUUGAUUUUUUAUCUUAUUUUUUCUUUCUUUUAUAUUUAUUUUAACAGUUUUCCAUUAUAUUUCACAGUUUAUGCUUAUAUACAUCCACCCCUGUAACUUCUCAACUACCGACGCACUACAAUCACUAGGAAAAUGCUUGUGCAUUUCUACAUGCAAUAUGAAUCCAUUAAUCACAAUUUAGCAAAUGCGUACACCAAUAAGUGGAGCAUUGUUUGAUAUCAUAGCUGAAUGUCCAUUAUUCGAUAUCAUAGGUCAACAUCCGUGAAUUGCGACCAAAUAUAUAUUACUAUGAUGACCAAAGGCAUGAGCAACACAAAAAUCAAGCACAACAAAAUAUUUCCCAACAACUGCCAAAGAAAAAGAUUGCAAAUAACAACUUAAAGAAACCAAUAUCGCAAAACUAACAAGCCUUUGAACAAACAAGAUUUAACAUGACACUAAUUGGGUAUGCUUAAUUUGCACGAUACAAUGGUUCACGGGGAAACAAGUUUGUGCUGAGUGAUACAAGUUUGGUCUAUUCAACAAAACACAUCAAAUUUCCUGACUUAGGCAUUGAUAUCAAAAGUAUUCCGAGUCUUUAUCUAGAUAGAUCCAAACAAAUAUACAAGGAUGAGAACUUCCAAAUAAUCUUAUAGAUUGUGAAUCUAGCAACAUGAGUAUCAAUUCUACACUUUCCACAUAGGCAAUACAAUUUUAACUAGUGGGUUAUGCUUGUUUCCCGAAACAAGAUCAAGCGGGAGGUUGGUGUUAAUUCACCUAGGUGUAGAACCUUCUUUCGCUGAACACCAAUCCAAAGGACCAUGCUUGUUGCUUCGAAGAUCACUUGUAGAGCUUGUGCGUCUCGGGACAAUGAGGGAUUAGAGGAGUAGGCGACACUAUCUUUCCUAGAGGCGGGCCUACUACUGGUCGGGUGAGACUCUGCUGUGCAUCACAAUUCUUGAUCUUGUUUGUAAUUGAAGAGAGGUCCCAAGGCAGGAUGGCACUCACACGAGGGCUUGAUAAGUUGCAUUAGAGUGUGCUUUGAGGAUCACUUGAAGACUCAGAGCGGCACUGAUUAUAGAGAGCAUGGGGAAUGCUUAGUUUCUUGAAGGCUAUGCUUUGUUUUGUGCUAGAGGAUUUAGAUGUGGUCAGAUGGAGUUGGGCCAUGAAAUUAUAUUGAGAAAUUGAAGGGCAAAAGUUAAGAGAAACUUAGAGUUGUUGUUUAUGGAUGGCGAUAGGCCCAAGUUGCAUGUUUGUUGGUUUUGGGUGAUGAGAAUUGGAGAUUGGGAGGAAAGAGGAUAUGCUACGUUAGAAAAAAACAUUAAAGAAUUCGAGUUUGGCUACAUCAGUGCGAACUAUUAUGUUCAGCCUUUAGAAUCAGUUGUGUGCCCAACACUUCUUCCGAAACUGGUUUUGAUUCCAUUUUUGUUGUAUGUGUGCAGUUUUCAGAAUGGAGACUCACGCACCGCUUAUGACCGAUCAAUUAGACUCUACAUAUUAUGGCUUUUCCUUGUCUAGCCACCUUCAUGACCAAAGAUCUAAAUGAUUUAUUGCUUUUGCCAUGUCUAAGGUAAAUGCUUUUUUUCGAGCCUACGUUAGUUUCAAAAUGCGCAAGUUUAAUUAGCCGAAAAUGUAAGUUUGAUUUUUUUCAAAAAGAAAGUGUAGAGUGGAUUUUGGACGUUUUUACAAAGUGUGAAAUACACUUUUUUAGAAAACAUUUGUACUUAUAUGAAAAAAUAACCUUUUACUGCUUACUAUUGAAAUGUGUGUGCAAGGGUUAUUGAUUAUUUAGAGCCCGCUGUGGUAUCCAUUGCCUAUCCAACACUCUAUGCAAACAUCAAAACACUAUUACCGUAACACCAAGUAAGAAAUCAAUGCCUUGUGAACGUAUAUAUACACAUUUAUUUGAUAAGAAAUGUUAUCCUCAACCACGAGGGGAAGCACCUCGUGUAACGAUCUCCAACCAAAACUACAUACUUAGGUGAAUAAACAUUGUGACGCAUUAGCACAGUUAGCUUGUAUUGCAAGUACAAUAUGAUAUCAUACUUCACAUGCACAAGUGUGGUGUACUUGGAUAAAGCAUAAGUGACCAUUGUAAUUACGUGUGAGAAUAUAUAACAAGAUUUUUAGUUUUGGGUAACGAAGGGAAAGUAAUGCAAUGAACCUCGCAUAUGUAUUCCUCCUCUGGAAUACAUUCAUCCAUCCUCUCGUCCUCCGAUAUGUAUAGAGUAGGCCACAAUAGGUUAAUGGGGGAAAGUUGUUUGUAAUUAGGUAUUGUGUAGAAAAUAUUCAAGAUAAUCAUUGGCCUAAGACUAUACCAAAAAUCUGCAAAUGAAGAGCAAAAGGAAGAUAUUUAGUUUAAUUGUGAUGCAAGAAGCCGCUUAACUACACUAUUUAGGUGGGCCAACACGUGUAGGCGGACCAGGUGGUAUAUAUUGUUGGUGUUGGAUUUCCGUUUUAGGCUCACUGGAACUUCAUGGGGUGUUUGUUUUUAUGGGCGUGCGCCAUGGAUAGCUAGCGAGUAAAUGUUUGCUUUGUAGAUGUGUCCUUAGUUUCUUCCCAUAUUUCAUGUUGGAUAUGAUUUGUUCUCCUAAAUUGGCUAAGAAAUAUUGGAAAUAACUGAAAAAGAUAAAAACAUCAUGUCAUCGAAGAUCCACCCCCUCCGCUCGCACGAUAUUGCUUUGGAAAUGGAAAUAAUCCCUUCAUGUCAUGGAAGAUCUACAUCCUUCCACUCACGCGAUAUCGCAUCAUCUUACCUGGGUCAGUCUUCCCCCUUUCCUCACAAAAAAUCACGUUGUAUUGCAUGAGAUAUAUCCUGAAGUCCACUUAUUGUAGAACGAAAAUAAAUUCUCUAGCGACCCCGCCAUUUGAGACGUACCGGAAGCCUCCCCACCAUCCGAAAUUAAUGACACAUGUAAGCAAAGUGAGGGGUGGGUGUUGGGACUUACGAGAAUCCAUGCGAGAGCCGCAAUGCUUGGGGUGUUGAGCUCAUUUAUUCUCCACGUGGAUCGCUUCUUAAUGGUAUCACGCUCGAGUUGGUCACCUCCCAUGGCUAAGCCUCGCAUCUGGUGUAAACUAAAAUUAAGUUAGUAAAUUUUGGUGUUUCUAUAUUUGUUGUUCGAUUCUGAUUUCAGUUUAUUCCUAAAGGGUAGACUGCAUUAGGCUAACUAAGGAUAUGGAUACCUUCAACGCUUGGCACCCCGCAAUAUUAAAUAGAAAAGGUCCCUACCUCAUUUUGUGUAGCCACAUGAUGUGGGAGAAAUCACGAAAGAGACAAGCCCCGUGGGAGAGACUAAUUGGACUGGUUGAGAAGAAGAAGUUUUGUAGAAUAUUAGGCCUUGCGUAGUUGCAUACAAUGUUGAGGUGAAGAUCCAUAUUGUGCGGAUGUUUCCUUGUCAAACGGGCCAAAUAUCCCCUAAAUGGGUGAUCGGACGAUGAAAUCAAUCUUAGGACACUACCGAUUUGGCUAACGGCUUAUCAAAUCCCUAAUAUUUUGAAGUUGGGUUUGAGUUAGAGGAACGAGAGUCGAUGUGUUUGUGGUUCUAGAGGAUUGCCAAAGAUGCCCUAUGAGACUUUAUGACUUGUUCUCACACGUUGCUCGUAUUAAAACUACAAUAGGAAAUCAUACUUCACAUGCACAAAUGUGUGGUGUACCUAGAUAAAGCAAUAGAGACAAUUGUAGUUACAUGUGAGAACAUAUUAAAAAUAAUUUCAGUUUUGUGCAAUCAAGGGAAAGUAAAGUAAUGUCCUUCUCAUAUUUAUGCUCGCACUGAUCACAUUCAUCCAUCCACUCGUCCUUAUAGCUGUAUAGAGUAGGCCACAAUAGGGCCAUGGGAGAGUGUUGUUUGUAAUUAGGCGGUAACUGUGUACAAGACAUACAAGACAAUCAUUGUCCUAGAGCCUAUACCAUCCAUAUGCAAAUAAAGUGCAAAAGGAAGAAAUUUUGUUUAACUCUAAAGCAAGAAGCCGCUUAACUACACUAUUUAGGCAGGCCAACAUGUGUGGGAGGACUAGGUGGUAUUUUUGCGGUGAAUUUCCAUUUUAAGCUCAUUGGAACUCGAUGGGGAUGUUUGCUUUUUAGGUGUGGCCCAUGGACAGCUAGCCAACAAAUGGUAGCAUUGUAGAUGUGCCCUUUGUUUUUUCCCGUAUUUCAGGAUAGAUAUGCAUUUUUUUUCUUAAAUUGGUUAAGAAAACAUGGAAUUAACUAGCAACAAUGAGAAACACAUCACAUCAUUGAUGAUCACCCCCACCCCCCGCCCCCCGCCUCCACUCGCUUGAGGUCGCUUUGGAAAAAUGCAAAUUACGACUUCAUGUCAUGGAAGAUCCACACCCUUCCACUCACACGAGAUCACAUCAGCUAACCCAAGAUCCGUCUUACCCAUUUCCUCACAGAAAAUCACAUCAUAAUGUGUGACAUAUAUCCUAAGGUCUAGCAUGAAAACAAAUUCUCUAGCCACCCCGCCACUUGAGACAUACCGAAACCCACCCCACCAUGUGACAUUAAACAUACAUGUAAGAAAGAGAGGGGUGGGCUUGGGAGUUAUGAGAGGUCAUGCAAGAGAUAGAAUGCUUGGGCUAUCAAUCCACUUUAUCCUCCCUCGUGAAUCGCUGCUCGAUGGUCCCACGCCCAUGUUGGACACCUCACAUGGCCGAGCCUGGCAUUUGCUAUAUACCAAACUUCGGUUAGUAAGUUUUGUUCUUUCUAUAUUUCCUUUUUGAUUCAGUUGGUUAAGAAAAAUGGAAAUAACUAGCAACAGUGAAAAACCCAUCACAUCACUGAACAUCACCCCCACUACACUCACAUGAGAUCGCUUUGAAAAAAUGAAAAUUAUCACUUCACAUCAUUGAAGAUCCACACCCUUCCACUCACAUGAGAUCACAUCAUUUAACCCGAGAUCUGUCUUCCCCUUUUCCUCACACAAGAUCAUGUCGUAACGUGUGACAUAUAUCCUAAUGUCUAGCAUGACAAUAAAUUCUCUAGCCGCCCUAUCACUUGAGACGUACCGAAUCCCACACCACCAUCUGCCACGAAACAUAAAUGUAAGAAAACGAGGCGUGGGUUUUGGGCCUUAUGAGAGGUCAUGCAAGAGCCAAAAAGCUUGGGUUGUCAAUCCCCUUUAUCCUCCCUUGUGGAUCGCUGCUCGACGAUCCCAUGACCAUGUUGGGCACCUCACAUGGCUGGCCCUGGCAUUUGGUAUAUAAACUUAGGUAAGUAAGUUUUGUGUUUCUAUAUUUCCUUUUUGAUUCAGUUUUCGACUUAUACUGAAAGAGUAUAACGUGUCCGGUUCACCAAGGAUAUGGAUGCCUUUCACCCGAGGCAUACCACCCUAUUAAAUAGUCAAGCUCCUGUCCCCAUUUUCUGUAGCCUGGUGAUGUGGUACUAAUAACCAAAUGGACAUGCCCCACGGGAGAGAUUCAUUGGUGUGGGUAAGAAAAAUAGGUUUUGUAGAUUAUUGGGCAUUGCCUAUUUGCAUAUUGUAUUGAGGUGGAUGGCCCACAUGAGUGAUUAGGUCGUCCCUGAUUUGCACACACGACCACAUGACACUUACCUUAUCCUUAGGGGAGCGACUCUGUGUUGACUAUUGUGAGAUGAAAUAAGGUGUCGCCUAGAGUGCUUACGAAAUGGGCUAGAAUACCAUGUUGGGCGACCAUCGGACUUAAGAGUUGAUUUUUUUAUCUUCUUUUUUCUUUCUUUUAUAUUUAUUUUAAUAGUUGUCCAUUAUAUUUCACAGUUUAUCCUCAUAUGUGUCCACCCCUGUAACUGCUCAAUUACCGAGCCACUACAAUCACUAGGAAAAUGCUUGUGCAUUUCUACAUCCAACAUGAAUCCAUUAAUUACAGUUUAGCAAAUGCGUACACCAAUAAGUGAAGCAUUGUUUGAUAUCAUAGUUGAAUGUCCAUUAUUCGAUAUCAUAGGUUAAUAACCAUGAAUUGCGACUACAUAUAUAUUACUAUGAUGACCAAAGCCAUGAGAAACACAAAAAUCAAGCACAACAUAAUAUUUCACAACAACUGCCAAAAAAAGAGAAACCCACAUCACAACAUAUGAAUGAAACAAAACUAAGAAUCCUUUGAACAAACAACAUUUAUCAUGAUACUAAUGGGGUAUGCUUAAUUUGCAUGAUACAAUGGUUCACGAGGAAACAAGUUUGUGCUGCGAGAUACAAGUUUGGUCUAUUCAACAAAACACAUCAUAUUUCUUGACUAAGGCAUUUAUCUCAAAAGUCUUCAAAGUCUUUAUCUAGAUAGAUCCAAACAAAUAUAGAAGGAUGAGAACUUCCAAAUAAUCUUAUAGAUUAUGAAUCUAGCAACAUGAGUAUCAAUUCUACACUUUCCACAUAGGUAAUACAAUUUUAACUAGAGGGUUGUGCUUGUUUCCCGAAACAAGAUAAAGCGGGAGGUUGGUGUUAAUUCACCUAGGUGUGGAACCUUCUUUCGCUGAACACCAAUCCGAAGCACCAUGCUUGUUGCUUCGAAGAUCACUUGUAGAGUCGGUGCGUCUCGGGACGAUGAGGGACUAGAGGAGUAGGCGGCACUAUUUUUCUGAGAGGCGGGCUUACUACUGGUCGGGUCAUACUCUGCUGUGCAUCACAAUUCUUGAUCUUGUUUGGAAUUGAAGAGGGGUCCCGAGGCAGGAUGGGGCUCAGACGAGGGCUUGAUAAGUUGUAUUAGAGUGUGCUUUGAGGAUCACUUGAAGACUCAGAGCGGCACCGAUUAUAGAGAGCAUGGGGAAUGCUUAGUUUCUUGAAGGCUAUGAUUUGUUUUGUGCUCGAGGAUUUAGAUGUGGUCAGAUGGAGUUGGGCCAUGAAAUUACAUUUAGAAAUUGAAGGGAAAAAGUUAAGAGAAACUUAGAGUUGUUCUUUAUGGAGGUAGAUAGGCUAAAGUUGCAUCUUUGUUGGUUUCGGGUGAUGAGAAUUGGAGAUUGGGAGGAAAGAGGAUAUGCUACGUUAGAAAAAAAAACAUUGAAGAUUUCGAGUUUGGCUAUAUGAGUGCGAACUAUUAUAUUCAGCCUUUAGGUUCUGUUCCGUGCCCAACACUUCUUCCGAAACUGGUUUUGAUUCCGUUUUUGUUGUAUAUGUGGAGUUUUCAGAAUGGAGACUCACGCACCGCUUAUGACCGAUCUACUAGACUCUACUUAUUAUGGCUUUUCCUUGUCUAACCAGCUUAUAUGACCAAAGAUCUAAAUGAUUUAUUGCUUUUUUCCAUGCCUUAGGUAAAUCUUUCUUUUUUUCGAAGCCUACGUUAGUUUCAACAUGCGCAAGUUUAGUUAGCCCAAAAUGUAAGUUCGAUUUUUUUUGAAAAGAAAGUGUAGAGUGGAUUUAGGACGUUUUUACAAAGUGAGAAAUACACUUUUUUUUGAAAACAUAUGUACUUAUAUGAAAAAAUAACCUUUUACUGCUUAGUAUUGAAAUGUGUGUGCUAGGGUUAUUGCUUAUUUAGAGCCCAGUGUGGUAUCCAUUGCCUAUCCAACACUCUAUCCAAACAUCAAAACACUAUUGUUGUAACACCAAGUAAGAAAUCAGUGCCUCUAAAGGUAUAUAUACACAUUUAUUUUAUAAGAAACAUUAUCCUCAACCACGAGGGGAAGCGCCUCGUAUAACGAUCUCCAACCAAAACUACAUACUUACGUGAAUAAACAUUGUAACUCAUUAGCACAGUUAGCUUGUAUUGAAUGUACAAUAUGAUAUCAUACUUCACAUGCACAAGUGUGGUGUACUUGGAUAGACCAUUAGUGACAAUUGUAAUUCCAUGUGAGAAUAUAUAACAAGAUUUCUAGUUUUGGGUAACCAAGGGAAAAUAAUGCAAUGUCCCUCGCAUAUGUAUUCCUCCUAUGGAAUACAUUCAUCCAUCCUCUCGUCCUCCGAGAUGUAUAGAGUAGGGCAAAAUAGGUUAAUGGGGGAAAGUUGUUUGUAAUUUGGUAUUAUGUACAAAACAUUCAAGAUAAGCAUUGGCCUAAGACUAUUCCAAAAAUUUGCAAACGAAGAGCAAAAGGAAGAUAUUUUGUUUAAUUGUGAUGCAAGAAGCCGCUUAACUACACUAUUAAGGUGUGCCAACACAUGUAGGCGGACCAGGUGGUAUAUAUUUUUGGUGUUGGAUUUCCAUUUUAGGCUCACUAGAACUUCAUGGGGUGUUUGUUUUUAUGGGCGUGCACCAUGGAUAGCUAGCGAGUAAAUGUUUGCAUUGUAGAUGUGUCCUUAGUUUCUUCCCAUAUUUCAUGAUGGAUAUGAUUUGUUCUCUUAAAUUGGUUAAGAAAAAUUGGAAAUAACUAACAAAGAUAAAAAAAAAUAUCAUGUCAUAUAAGAUCCACCCCCUCCGCUCGCACGAUAUUGCUUUGAAAAAUGGAAAUAAUCCCUUCAUGUCAUGGAAGAUCUACAUCCUUCCACUCACGCGAUAUCGCAUCAUCUAACCUGGGUCGGUCUUCCCCCUUUCCUCACAGAAUAUCACGUCGUAAUGCAUGAGAUAUAUCCUGAAAUCCACUUAUUAUAGCACAACAAUAAAUUAUCUAGCCACCCUGCCAUUUGAGACGUACCGGAAGCCUCCCCACCUUCCCAAAUUAAUGAUACAUGUAAGCAAAGUGAGGGGUGGGUCUUGGGACUUACGAGAGGCCAUGCAAGAGCUGCAAUGCUUUGGUUGUUGACCCCAUUUAUUCACCACGUGGAUCGCUUCUUAAUGGUCUCACGCUCGAGUUGGUCACCUCCCAUGGUUAAGCCUGGCAUCUCGUGUAAACUAAACUUAGGUUAGUAAAUUUUGGUGUUUCUAUAUUUGUUGUUCGAUUCUAUUUUGAAUUUAUUCCUAAAGGGUAGAAUGCAUUAGGCUAACUAAGGAUAUGGAUACCUUCAACACUUGGCACCCCACCAUAUUAAAUAGAAAAGGUCCCUACCCCAUUUGACGUAGCCACACGAUGUGGGAGAAAUCACGAAACUGACAAGCCCCACGGGAGAGACUGAUUGGAUUGGUUGAGAAGAAGAAGUUUUGUUGAAUAUUAGGCCUUGCGUAGUUGCAUACAAUGUUGAGGUGGACGGCCCCCCAUGAGUCACUAGUUCAUCUUUCAUUGGCACACAACCACACAUAACAGACACCUUAUUGUCACGGGCGCGACUAUGUGUUCCCUUUUGCAAUACGAAACAAGGUCUCGCCUGAAGUGCUUACGAAAUGGGCCAUCCUAGCAUGUCGGGGAAUCAUAGGCCUUAAGAGCUCAUUUUUGUUUUAUUUUUUAUAUUUUUUUCAUCUUUUCCUUCUUUUUUACUUUAUUCUAUAUUUAUUUUUAUAGUCAUGCCAUUAUAUUUCACAGUCUACGCUCUUAUAUGUCCAACCCUUUAAUUGCUCAACAACCUACCCACUACAAUCACUAGGAAAAUUCUUGUGCAUUGCUACGGGCAACGUGAAUAAAUUAAUUAUAAUUUAGAAAUUGUAUCGACCCAUAAGUGAAGCAUUAUUUGAUCUCAUAGUUGAAUGUGCAUUAAUUGAUAUCACAGUUUAAUGUCAAUGAAUUGCGACAAGAUAUAUAUAUUACUAUGAUGACCAAAGGCGUGAGAAAGAGAAAAUUGGAGCACAACAAAAUAAUUUCCAACAAUUGCCAAAAGACGAGCUUGCACCUUAGAAAAUAAAUAAACCGGCAGCACAACAUUUGAAGUCAAUAUAACUGACACUCCUUUGUGCAAACAAUAUUUAACAUAAUACUAAUUUGGUAUGCCUCACUUGGAUGGUACUAGUUCACGAGGAAACAAGUUUGUGAUGAGUGAUACAACUUUGGUCGAUUCAAUAAAACACAUGAUAUUUCCUGAAUUAGGCAUUUAUCUAAUAAGUAUUGAAUGUGUCAGAUUGUUUGUCUAACUAUAGCCAAAUAGAUAUGUUAGCAUGAGAACAUCAAAAUGACAUUGUAGACUGCAAAGCUAGUAACAUGAGUAUCAAUUCUACACUUUCCACUUGGCAACCCAAGUUUAAUUAGUGGGUUUUCCUUUUUUCUUGAAACAGCAUCAAGCCAGAGGUUGGUGUUAAUUCACCUUGGUGUAGAACCUUCCUUUCCCUUAACACCAAUCCAAAGCACCAUGGUUGCUGCUUUGGAGAUAGUUUGUAGAGUCGGAGCUCCUCGGGGCGAUCGGGGAUUGGAGGAGUAGGUGGUGCAAUUUUUCAUAGACGGGGUCCUACUCUGGUAUGGUCGGACUUUGUAGUGCAUCACAAUCCCUGCUCUUGCUCAGAAUAAAAGAGGAGCCCCGAGGCGGUUUGGGGCUCACACGAGGGCUCGAUGAGGUAGGUUCGAGUGUGCUUCGGAGAUAAUUUGAAUAACCAAAGUGGCACCGGGUAGAGAUAUCAUGGGGCAUGCUGGGAUUCUUGAAGGUUAUCAUCUCUUUUGUGCUAGAGGAUAGAGAUGUGGUCGGAUGGAAUUGGGCCAUGAAAAUAUCUUGCGAUAAUGAAGGGGAGAAGUCAAGGGAAACUUAGAGUUGUUCUUCAUGGAGGGGUAUAUUACCAGGUGGCCUCUCUGUUGCAUUUAGUGUGAUGAACAUGGGAGAUUGGGAGAAAAUAGAACGUGUUACAUUAGAAAACAGACAUUCAAGACUCUAAGUUUGGAUAUAUCAUCAUGAACUAUUUGGUUCGGCCUUCAAAUUCACUUUCGUGCCCAACACUUCUCCCCCAAACUGGUUUUGAUCCUACUUUUGUAGUUAUUGUGUAGUUUGUGCAAUGGAGACUCAAGCACCAUUCAUGAUCGAUCAACUAGACUUGCCUUACUAUGGCUUCUCCUUGUCUAAGCAUCUUACAUGAUCCAAUAUCUAAAUAAUAUAUCAGUUUUGCCAAGCCUUAAGAAAAUGGUUUCUUUUUUCGAAAAUCUCGGGUUAGUUUUCAAAACAUGCAAGUUUAGUUAUUCAAAAAUGUAAGUUUCAUAUUUGUAAUCCGUAAAGUGGUUUUGGACAUUUUUACAAAGUGAAAAAUAUAAUUUCUUAGAAAACAUUGGUACUUACGAAUUUAUCUCAAAAUAUUAGAAGUGUCACUUUGUUUAUCUAACUACAACCAAAAAUUUCAAAUGUAAAUAAUUUAUCGUUAUUACCCAUAAUCAAAGGUU
This 16924-nucleotide long non-coding RNA is filed under the name Hordeum vulgare. Its description in RNAcentral is "long non-coding RNA (HVUL_LNC001858)". Lineage: Eukaryota; Viridiplantae; Streptophyta; Magnoliopsida; Poales; Poaceae. The record is from RNAcentral.